UACUAGUUCUAGUUAUAAGCGGUAUGAAAAAUGGUACGAUGGUUUUUUUGUAAUAAAGAAUAAAACUUUCUAUAAUGAUUCUACUUAUAAUCUACAAAGAAAGUGGAAUGAUGGAAAUUUUGUAAUAAAUUACAAGUGGAAAUUUUGUAAUAAAUUACAAAGAGUUUCUAUAUCGAUUGGUCUAUAACUGGUAUAGAAAAUGGCGUAGUUAUAAUUUUGUAAUAAAAUGUAAAGACUUUAUAUAUCGGUUAGGCUUAGAACCGAGAUAAUAUGUUUAAUUAUCUCGUUUCCUCUCAAGCUUCACUCAUGCUUCCUUCUCUCUACAACUUUCCUCCUCCUUUGCGUUCUCUCCUUCCUGCACUCCCUUACCUUUGUCUCCUCCCUCUGUCGCUUUUGGUCAUCACUGUCCCUCAAGUUCUCGUCGUUGUUAUUGUUCUCAUUUGUACUCCCU
Molecule: long non-coding RNA, 451 nt
Filed under: Vigna radiata
Lineage: Eukaryota; Viridiplantae; Streptophyta; Magnoliopsida; Fabales; Fabaceae
Description: long non-coding RNA (VRAD_LNC009017)
Source: RNAcentral